Molecule: transfer RNA, 92 nt
Filed under: Candidatus Chaera renei
Lineage: Bacteria; Candidatus Saccharimonadota; Candidatus Saccharimonadia; Saccharimonadales (SeqCode); Saccharimonadaceae (SeqCode)
Description: bacterium AMD01 tRNA-Ser
Rfam family: tRNA
About the family: Transfer RNA (tRNA) molecules are approximately 80 nucleotides in length.
Source: RNAcentral
GGAAGGGUGCAGGAGCGGUUGAACUGGCGCGCUUGGAAAGCGCGUAUAGCCCGCAAGGGUUAUCGAGGGUUCGAAUCCCUCUCCUUCCGCCA